UACGAAGGGUGCUAGCGUUAUUCGGAAUCACUGGGCGUAAAGAGCGUGUAGGCGGUUUAUUAAGUCGACUGUUAAAGCACCAAGCUUAACUUGGUAAAGGCAGGCGAAACUGGUAGGCUAGAGUACAAGAGAGAGAAGUGGAAUUGUCGGAGUAGCGGUAAAAUGCGUAGAUCUCGACAGGAACACCGGUUGCGAAGGCGGCUUCUUGGCUUGUAACUGACGCUAAAGCGCGAAAGCGUGGGGAGCAAACAGG
This 253-nucleotide ribosomal RNA is filed under the name uncultured bacterium. RNAcentral describes it as "partial 16S ribosomal RNA". It matches the Rfam family "Bacterial small subunit ribosomal RNA", at positions 524 to 776 of the family's 1533-position model. The record is from RNAcentral.